AUUAGAAUUGUAACAAAUGUCUUCGUUAGUACUAUAUUGUAUUUCGCAGGAUGUUCCUUGACAGAUUGGUUCUGUGGACUGUGGUGCGUUCAUGUUGAUUGUUGUCACGUCACGGAUCGGGGAAGCAGGAGCAGGAAGACGGAGAAUCGGGGAACAAAGGAUUUAUUGGGGAAACCAGCUAGGAACACGGGACAAUAGAAGUAGCGACUUAAAUGACAUGAUUGGGGAAACAUAUUUUGAAGCGGAGUUAAAUACAUAGGACUAAUGAAAACAACUGGAAACAGCGAAUGACAUCGGGGUUCCACACGAGGUUAACGAGGGGGCGUGGCACACGGGAGGAGCGGACAAGCGGCGCAUGACAAUUUGAGUUGCAGGGAUUUGACAAAAACAUCCUUUUAGAAAUGCGUGAGGAAGGUCAAGACUCUGGUCUCCAGCUCACCGCUCUCUCUUACAUUUCCAU
This is a long non-coding RNA of Brienomyrus brachyistius, 460 nucleotides long. RefSeq lists it as uncharacterized. NCBI's taxonomy places the organism in Eukaryota, Metazoa, Chordata, Actinopteri, Osteoglossiformes, Mormyridae. The transcript has 3 exons. The record is from RefSeq and is a predicted model, not a curated record.